CCUANGGGUGGCAGCAGUGGGGAAUUUUGCGCAAUGGGCGAAAGCCUGACGCAGCAACGCCGCGUGCGGGAUGAAGGCUCUCGGGUCGUAAACCGCUUUCAGCAGGGAUGAAACUGACAGUACCUGCAGAAGAAGCCCCGGCUAAAUACGUGCCAGCAGCCGCGGUAAUACGUAUGGGGCAAGCGUUAUCCGGAUUCAUUGGGCGUAAAGAGCGCGUAGGCGGAUUGUUAAGCGCGAUGUGAAAACUGGGGGCUCAACCCGCAGCCUGCAUCGCGAACUGGCAGUCUUGAGUCUGGUAGAGGAGUGUGGAAUGCCCAGUGUAGCGGUGAAAUGCGCAGAUAUUGGGAGGAACACCAGUGGCGAAGGCGGCACUCUGGGCCACGACUGACGCUGAGGCGCGAAAGCUAGGGGAGCAAACAGGAUUAGAUACCCUUNUUNUC
RNAcentral lists this ribosomal RNA (440 nucleotides) under uncultured bacterium. Its description in RNAcentral is "bacterial SSU rRNA". It matches the Rfam family "Bacterial small subunit ribosomal RNA", at positions 338 to 795 of the family's 1533-position model. The record is from RNAcentral.